UGUCACAAGGGCAACUGUGACCAGGGGACCAGGUUGUCUCCUCCAGGUCAGAGCUGUUGGGGGAAGAGGAGACACCUGCUGGGGACGGCCUGGCGUCCUCAGGGAAUCACAGCCCACGUGCCCUGGAAAACACCACGAGUAUGGCAGUUGUGCCAGCGCCAAGAAAUCUGGAUGAUACGAACAGCAUUGAGCAAUCGACAGUAUUGCCUUCGGAUGUGCCACAUGCGAAACCAGGACUGUAGCCUGCCAGCGGCCCACGUUUCCCGGGCAUAGACCUCCAACGCCGCCCGUCGCCGCCUCUGCAGCAGGAUCAUCAGCGUCCGCCUCCACCAGCACUGAAUGACCCAGACUUGGAGCGCCAUGUGCAGCAGCGUGCGACGGAGCAGCGUGCCGCGCCACCAGGCCUGGAUCUUCCUGGCUGCCGCAUCCUUGUUGGAGGGCGGCUUCAUUUCCAGGGGGGAGGAGAGUUGAGGGGAAAAGAAAAGACACUCAGAAAGCA
Ochotona princeps (American pika) is the source of this 499-nucleotide long non-coding RNA. RefSeq lists it as uncharacterized. The transcript is spliced from 2 exons. The record is from RefSeq and is a predicted model, not a curated record. Lineage: Eukaryota; Metazoa; Chordata; Mammalia; Lagomorpha; Ochotonidae.